GAAGGGAGGGAAGGGCUAGUGAUUGGAGAAGAUUAGUCACAUAGGUUUAUAGAUAGGGAAUAAUGACGGUGGGUUACUGGCUUUAAGGAGUGCCGUGUGUGGUCAGAUUGUUUUCGCAGGGGAGGGAAGGGAGAGCGGGUUGGCUAGUGAUUGGUGAUGAUUAGCUACAUAGGUCAAUAGACAGGUGAAUUGCUUGUUCUAGGGGCAACUGCUGUGUGUGGACACAGUAUGGUUCCAGAAAUAUGAUAGGAAAUCCACCUCGUUAACGUAAUACGGGGCAUGGAAUAAUGUAGAAGUAGAUUGUUGAUGGUUUUAUAAGUGAAAUGAGAGAUUACGGGUUGAGGAUGAAUAUCGACCCGAUAUCUUGGCAUUUAUUAGUUUUAGUGAAUUAGAAGAGUCAGUCAGCUGUAGUACAUCACAGGUAAAAAUGUGUGAUGCAAUGGUAGUGCUCUUCAAACUGGGCGUGAGUGAGAGACGUCAGCCCAUGAACAGCUUCCUCCACCAUGAAUUUGGUUUAGGGAGAGAUGUAAGCAAAUAUAAGGACCACUCGGGAACUAUUAUUGAUGAUUAAGACCAUCAAUGAGCACCAGGCUUGAGGAAUUAUCUUCACUCACUGCCCCGUCUCUUAGAUAAAGGCAUGAUGGUGCACUGAUUGGAGAUAGUUGCUCUAGCCGGGUGCUCCUUGAUGCUCAUAACCAAUGACAUACUUUCCCCAUCGUCCAGUUGUUUAUAUUCUCUCUACAACGCCUUCACCGAGGAAGCAGCUGUUCACGAGCCUGUCACCUCACACCUCUCCUCAGACUCCUCGUUUGGAAAGCCUGCACGAUUGCAAAGGAUGAGGACAACAACUACACCGCGCGGCUGUUGCAUCAGAUGUAUGCUGAUCCUGCAAAUAAGGCGUACCUGGCGUUCCUGCAGCCUCUAGUAGCUCAGGUCAACAGGGUCAAUAAGUUAUUUGAGUCUGACCACUGCAACGUCAGCAAGCUGCUGGAGGAGCUCAUGUCUUUGUAUCAGUCUCUUCUGAGCAGACUCAUGUUGCCGCGAACAUUCUCCACUUGGGAAUCCAUCACAAAUUUUGAUGUGGAGAAUGAGCGCAACCACUUGCCACUGGGUGCCGUUGACUUCGGGGUCAAAUUCAACCUUGAAGUGGCACGAACUGACAUGGAGCAACACACCAUCAAUGGGAUGAAGGCAUUCUGUCGCAAGUAUUUAAUGCAGCUCCUCCGAGAGCUUCGAAACAGGCUACCUUCAAAUGUGCAGCUUCUUCACAGUUUAAAUGCUUUGUCUACAGAACGUGUUCUUAGCGGAAGCCAAAGCUCAUAGAGCUGUCAUUCCUGAACAGAUUUUCAGGAGAUAUUAGCAUCCUAGAUGAACAGUGGCAGAGAAUAGGAACUAUUAACUGGCCAAGCGAUCAAACUGUAGAGGAGGAGAAGUUUUAGAUGGCAGUCUACCACCAUCAGGAUGCAGUAGGGGAAAGAGAUUGUAAGGCUUUGGGGAAUUUUGCUCUCUCCAUGCUGUCUUUCGCUUUCAGUAAUGCAUCAGUAGAAAGAGUCUUUUCCCAUAUGAACCUAAUAAAAAAUAAAAUAAGAAACAGAAUGCAGCUGAAAAGCCUCGAAAGCAUAUUGCACAUUCGUGCAUUCAUGCAAAGAAACGGCAUUUGUUACCAAGAAUUUGUUCCCUCACCAUCAAUGUUAGCCCUGUUCACUCAGGACAUAUACCGUAAGGACGCGGACACAGAUCUGGAUUUCUCUGAUA
Long non-coding RNA from Eriocheir sinensis (Chinese mitten crab), 1755 nucleotides. RefSeq lists it as uncharacterized. The record is from RefSeq and is a predicted model, not a curated record. Lineage: Eukaryota; Metazoa; Arthropoda; Malacostraca; Decapoda; Varunidae. The transcript is spliced from 3 exons.